GUGUCAGCAGCCGCGGUAAUACGUAGGGGGCGAGCGUUACCCGGAAUUACUGGGCGUAAAGGGGGCGUAGGCGGCCCGGCAAGUCAAGUGUGAAAUCCGGCGGCUCAACCGCUGGGCUGCGCUUGAAACUGCCGGGCCUGAGUGCAGCAGAGGGAGACGGAAUUGCCGGUGUAGGGGUGAAAUCCGUAGAUAUCGGCAAGAACGCCGGUGGGGAAGCCGGUCUCCUGGGCUGUUACUGACGCUGAGGCCCGAAAGCUAGGGGAGCGAACGGGAUUAGAUACCCCGGUAGUCCUAGCCGUAAACGAUGCUCACUAGGUGUGGGGCGCACAUGCGCUCUGUGCUGAAGCUAACGCGUUAAGUGAGCCGCCUGGGGAGUAUGCCCGCAAGGGUGAAACUCAAAUGAAUUGACGGGG
This 413-nucleotide ribosomal RNA is filed under the name uncultured prokaryote. RNAcentral's name for it is "bacterial SSU rRNA". It matches the Rfam family "Bacterial small subunit ribosomal RNA", at positions 505 to 918 of the family's 1533-position model. The record is from RNAcentral.